RNAcentral lists this ribosomal RNA (575 nucleotides) under Phomopsis sp. SY435. Its description in RNAcentral is "eukaryotic LSU rRNA". The stretch from base 236 to 389 matches the Rfam family "5.8S ribosomal RNA". Lineage: Eukaryota; Fungi; Ascomycota; Sordariomycetes; Diaporthales; Diaporthaceae. The record is from RNAcentral.
UUGAGGAAGUAAAAGUCGUAACAAGGUCUCCGUUGGUGAACCAGCGGAGGGAUCAUUGCUGGAACGCGCCCCAGGCGCACCCAGAAACCCUUUGUGAACUUAUACCUUACUGUUGCCUCGGCGCUAGCUGGUCCUCCGGGGCCCCUCACCCCCGGGUGUUGAGACGGCCCGCCGGCGGCCAACCCAACUCUUGUUUUUACACUGAAACUCUGAGCACAAAACAUAAAUGAAUCAAAACUUUCAACAACGGAUCUCUUGGUUCUGGCAUCGAUGAAGAACGCAGCGAAAUGCGAUAAGUAAUGUGAAUUGCAGAAUUCAGUGAAUCAUCGAAUCUUUGAACGCACAUUGCGCCCUCUGGUAUUCCGGAGGGCAUGCCUGUUCGAGCGUCAUUUCAACCCUCAAGCCUGGCUUGGUGAUGGGGCACUGCCUGUAAAAGGGCAGGCCCUGAAAUUCAGUGGCGAGCUCGCCAGGACCCCGAGCGCAGUAGUUAAACCCUCGCUCUGGAAGGCCCUGGCGGUGCCCUGCCGUUAAACCCCCAACUUCUGAAAAUUGACCUCGAUCAGGUAGAAUCCUGC